AACAUGAUCAUCCGAAUGAU
This 20-nucleotide microRNA is filed under the name Prunus persica (peach). Its description in RNAcentral is "microRNA miRNA_241". The record is from RNAcentral. Lineage: Eukaryota; Viridiplantae; Streptophyta; Magnoliopsida; Rosales; Rosaceae.